UAUCACUAAGCGGAGGAAAAGAAACUAACCAGGAUUCCCCUAGUAACGGCGAGUGAAGAGGGAAGAGCCCAGCACCGAAGCCUGUGGCAGUUUUGCUGCUAGGCAAUGUGGUGUUUGGGUCGGCUGGCGGGACUGCCACUCCACUCGAAGUCCAGCAUUGAGUAUGGUGACCUGGAUUUGGCCCAGAGAGGGUGAAAGGCCCGUACGGGUGGAGGUUCAGACAUGUGAGGCAGUUCACUAGGCCGACCUUCGAGUCGGGUUGUUUGAGAAUGCAGCCCAAAGUGGGUGGUAAACUCCAUCCAAGGCUAAAUACUAGCACGAGUCCGAUAGCAAACAAGUACCGUGAGGGAAAGUUGAAAAGUACUUUGAAGAGAGAGUAAACAGUACGUGAAGCCGCAUGCAGGUAAACGGGUGGCGUCAAGCUGCAAGCCGGGAGAAUUCAGUCGAUUAGGGUGUCAAUGCGCCUGGCGCAUGGAACAGUCGGAGUGAGAUUGGAUGGUCCGCUGGAAUACAGUGGGUCUCGCCGCAAGGUGGGAUGUGUGUACCGGGUGUUAGCCGGAGCACGCCGUCUGUCUGCUGGACUGCCUAGUCGGUGCACUUUCUCUCAUUAUGGCUAACACCACGACCGGUGGUACUGCCAGUCUGCUAUGGCCAAGUCGUAGUUGGUGGGUACUUGUUGCCUACUGGCUGCGGCGUCCACAGGCAAAUUCGGUAGACGGCGUCGGUAUUCGCCUUGUGCGGUGUCGGCGUGUUAUCGGCUAUCGGUUGUCUUAACGGGCUGCCUGGCGACGUUGAAGCCGUCGUGUUGGGUGGUCUGGUGGGCCUUAGUGGUAUGAAUAACUGUGCUGGGCACCGGAGUUUUCGGCCUCAAAUGCAGUCGGCAUGCACGCUUCAAGUGUGUGAUGUGGGUUGCGCUGCGGUCUGCCUGUUGUUGAGCGUGACUGUCGUGUUGCCUGCGCAAAGUGGGCCCGGCGGUGGCUUGAUGCGGGUUGGUGCCGUAGACGUGGCUCGCAGUGUCGGCUGUGGUGGGCCUGAUAGUCAGUGGUGUAGUGGUAGACGAGCUACCCGACCCGUCUUGAAACACGGACCAAGGAGUUUAACAUGUGUGCAAGUCAAUGGGUCCUACGAAACCCAAAGGCGCAGUGAAAGUGAAGCUUCGACUUGUUUCGAGGUGAGGUGAGAUCCUGCUGUUACUCGCAUCAUGCCGACACCAGGCAUCAAGAGCAGUGGGCGCAUCACCGGCCCGUCCCAUGAUGUGGCCAUUGGAAUAGGGCUGCAGUGAAAGCUGUAGUACCUCCAGUGCGUCAUCGGGGCGGAGCAUGAGCACACACGUUGAGACCCGAAAGAUGGUGAACUAUGCUUGCGUAGGUUGAAGCCAGAGGAAACUCUGGUGGAGGACCGCAGCGAUUCUGACGUGCAAAUCGAUCGUCAAACGUGAGUAUAGGGGCGAAAGACUAAUCGAACCAUCUAGUAGCUGGUUCCCUC
This 1485-nucleotide ribosomal RNA is filed under the name Rhinebothriidea gen. 3 sp. 3 Healy et al. (2009). RNAcentral's name for it is "eukaryotic LSU rRNA". It matches the Rfam family "Eukaryotic large subunit ribosomal RNA", at positions 41 to 961 of the family's 3401-position model. Lineage: Eukaryota; Metazoa; Platyhelminthes; Cestoda; Rhinebothriidea; Escherbothriidae. RNAcentral also lists the same sequence under 1 other name. The record is from RNAcentral.